UACGGGGGGAGCAAGCGUUGUUCGGAUUUACUGGGCGUAAAGGGCGCGUAGGCGGUCGUGACAAGUCACUUGUGAAAUCUCCGGGCUUAACUCGGAACGGUCAAGUGAUACUGUCGGACUAGAGUACAGAAGGGGCAACUGGAAUUCUCGGUGUAGCGGUGAAAUGCGUAGAGAUCCGGAGGAACACCAGAGGCGAAGGCGGCCUACUGGGCUGCACCUGACGCUGAGCCGCGAAAGCUAGGGGAGCGAACGGG
This 254-nucleotide ribosomal RNA is filed under the name uncultured bacterium. RNAcentral describes it as "partial 16S ribosomal RNA". It matches the Rfam family "Bacterial small subunit ribosomal RNA", at positions 524 to 776 of the family's 1533-position model. The record is from RNAcentral.